This 420-nucleotide ribosomal RNA is filed under the name uncultured bacterium. Its description in RNAcentral is "bacterial SSU rRNA". It matches the Rfam family "Bacterial small subunit ribosomal RNA", at positions 355 to 774 of the family's 1533-position model. The record is from RNAcentral.
UAAGGAAUAUUGCUCAAUGGGAGAAAUCCUGAAGCAGCAACGCCGCGUGGAGGAUGAAGGGUCUAUGACUUGUAAACUCCUGUAAAGAAGGAAAAAAUUCCCAUUUGAUGGGAGAUGAUGGUACUUCUGGAGUAAGCCCCGGCUAACUACGUGCCAGCAGCCGCGGUAAUACGUAGGGGGCAAGCGUUGUCCGGAUUUACUGGGUGUAAAGGGUGCUCAGGCGGAUUUGUAAGUCAGAGGUGAAAUCUUACAGCUUAACUGUGAAACUGCCUUUGAUACUGCAAGCCUAGAGUAUGGAAGAGAGCGAUGGAAUAUCUGGUGUAGCAGUGAAAUGCGUAGAUAUCAGAUAGAACACCAAUGGCGAAGGCAGUCACUUGGUCCAUUACUGACGCUAAAGCACGAAAGCGUGGGUAGCAAACA